This is a non-coding RNA of Marasmius sp. AFHP31, 98 nucleotides long. The record is from the annotation of a GenBank genome assembly. NCBI's taxonomy places the organism in Eukaryota, Fungi, Basidiomycota, Agaricomycetes, Agaricales, Marasmiaceae.
UCCGAUGUGGUGUAGUGGCUAACAUUGCUGUCUUUCAAGGGGCCGCCGUAAGCGGAAUUUGAUCACAGCAGCCCGGGGUUCGAUUCCCCGCAUCGGAA